This is a long non-coding RNA of Oncorhynchus nerka (sockeye salmon), 2825 nucleotides long. RefSeq lists it as uncharacterized. Lineage: Eukaryota; Metazoa; Chordata; Actinopteri; Salmoniformes; Salmonidae. The transcript has 2 exons. The record is from RefSeq and is a predicted model, not a curated record.
UAACCUACACAUUAACCUACACAUUCAUAAACACAUUAACCUACACAUUAACCUACACAUUAACCUACACAUUAACCUACACAUUAACCUACACAUUCAUAAACACAUUAACCUACACAUUCAUAAACACAAUAAAAUACACAAUACUAAACCCUGAUUGGCUGUCCAGGCCUAAACCCUGAUUGGCUGUCCAGGCCUAAACCCUGAUUGGCUGUCCAGGCCUAAACCCUGAUUGGCUGUCCAGGCCUAAACCCUGAUUGGCUGUCCAGGCCUAAACCCUGAUUGGAUGCCCAGGCCUAAACCCCGAGUGGAUGCCCAGGCCUAAACCCUGAUUGGAUGCCCAGGCCUAAACACUGAUUGGAUGCCCAGGCCUAAACCCUGAUUGGAUGCCCAGGCCUAAACCCUGAUUGGAUGCCCAGGCCUAAACCCUGAUUGGAUGCCCAGGCCAUUAAUUUAAAAAAAAUAGCAAAGUUGUACAUUCACCAAGGAUUCUAGAACUUUAGCUAGACCAGGAAGUCUUGAAGUGGUGCGGUAAUCAUUAAGAUCACUACUAUUCCCCGUCCUUACGCACAAGAGCUGAUUUCCAUACUUCAUGGAAUAUAUUUCCUGAUAACAAUGUUAAAUUAAAAAUGGUGGUUAUUGAGCCAACAAUGGUGGGCGCUGCUGCACACUUGAGCAGACAGAUCCAAUUGGUCGGCCCCCCCCCCACUUGUGGAUUUCUUGUAGUCUAUUGCUAUCAAAGCAUCCAGGAUGUUUUUUUCUGUAAAUAAGCCUAAAAGAAAAAGCUUUGACCAUCAUUUCUCUGAUCAUUCAGCGAGUUUCCCCUUAUCAGCAUGAAGAGGCCUAGAAGUUCAAAGAGAUGGCUGAAAAUAAAAUGGUGAUUUAAUGCAAUAUUAGAGGCAAUACAGUAUGAACUGACACAGAAGUUAGUUUAAAGAACCAAUACGCUAUAGGCUGACUGACACAUCUAUACAGUAUGUAGAUCUACUAACACAGCUGUUCUGACCAUAUACAGUAUACACUAUCAUCAUCAGGACAUCUCCCAGGACAUAGACAUAUCUGAUAUGGGCAAAAAAGCUUAAAUGCCUGGUAAUCUAACUGCACGGUCCAAUUUACAGUAGCUAUUACAGUGAAAGAAUACCAUGCUAUUGUUUGAGGAGAGGGCAGAGUUAUGACAUGUAUCAAUAAACCAAUUAGGCACAUUUGGGCAGUCCUGAUACAGCAUUUUGAACUGAAAUGCAAUGAUUCAUUGGAUCAGUCAACAAAAUGCACAUACACUGCUGCCAUCUAGUGGCCAAAAUCUAAAUGAUGCCUGAACUGGUAUAAUACGAUUGGUAAAUGAGUCUAGCCAGCUAUCUAAACUUGUAGUAAUUAUGGUCUCAUUACCGAUCGGGGGCUCCCAUUAAUUUUGCUUGUCACUUUCACUCAGAUAUUAUAUAAACACUGCAAAUAUUUCUCUCCAUCCUAUGGCAAACUGUGUAGAAUUGCAAGAGAUUAACUCUAUAAUGUUUUAUUUUAUGAACGUGGGUGCGCAGACCAGUGAGCCACUGCGGUCCCUCAUGAGGAGGUCAGAUUUUUUGUAGUGAAUACAUAGAACCAGGAGUAGGCUCUGUCUGGGAAACAUAGAACCAGGAGUAGGCUCUGACUGGGAAACAUAGAACCAGGAGUAGGUUCUGACUUGGAAACAUAGAACCAGGAGUAGGCUCUGUCUGGGAAACAUAGAACCAGGAGUAGGCUCUGUCUGGGAAACAUAGAACCAGGAGUAGGCUCUGUCUGGGAAACAUAGAACCAGGAGUAGGCUCUGUCUGGGAAACAUAGAACCAGGAGUAGGCUCUGUCUGGGAAACAUAGAACCAGGAGUAGGUUCUGACUGGGAAACAGAACCAGGAGAGGCUCUGACUGGGAAACAGAACCAGGAGAGGCUUAGAACCCGGAGUAGGCUUUGUCUGGGAAACAGAACCAGGAGAGGCUCUGUCUGGGAAACAGAACCAGGAGAGGCUUAGAUCCCGGAGUAGGCUCUGUCUGGGAAACAUAGAACCAGGAGAGGCUCUGUCUGGGAAACAGAACCUACUCCUGGAUCUGUCUGGGAAACAUAGAACCAGGAGUAGGCUCUGUCUGGGAAACAUAGAACCAGGAGAGGCUCUGACUGGGAAACAGAACCAGGAGUAGGCUCUGUCUGGGAAACAUAGAACCAGGAGUAGCCUCUGUCUGGGAAACAUAGAACCAGGAGUAGCCUCUGUCUGGGAAACAUAGAACCAGGAGAGGCUCUGUCUGGGAAACAUAGAACCAGGAGAGGCUCUGUCUGGGAAACAUAGAACCAGGAGAGGCUCUGUCUGGGAAACAUAGAACCAGGAGAGGCUCUGUCUGGGAAACAUAGAACCAGGAGAGGCUCUGUCUGGGAAACAUAGAACCAGGAGAGGCUCUGUCUGGGAAACAUAGAACCAGGAGAGGCUCUGUCUGGGAAACAUAGAACCAGGAGAGGCUCUAUCUGGGAAACAUAGAACCAGGAGAGGCUCUGUCUGGGAAACAUAGAACCAGGAGAGGCUCUGUCUGGGAAACAUAGAACCAUGAGAGGCUCUAUCUGGGAAACAUAGAACCAGGAGAGGCUCUGUCUGGGAAACAUAGAACCAGGAUAGGCUCUGUCUGGAAACCAACUCUUCAUGUGUAAAUACAUUAACUUUAGCUUUAUGUGCUUUCAGGGUUUGCUUUAUGUUAAUAGUAUGUGUGUGCGUUGGUUCUGAUGCAGAGAAUGUAUGUGAUGAAUGGUUUGGAGGCUGAGGAUGUGUUCAUACAGUUGGUUGGCUUGUAAUAAAGAAAGUACUGGAA